Molecule: ribosomal RNA, 257 nt
Filed under: uncultured bacterium
Lineage: Bacteria
Description: partial 16S ribosomal RNA
Rfam family: Bacterial small subunit ribosomal RNA
Source: RNAcentral
GUGAACGCUGGCGGCAGGCCUAACACAUGCAAGUCGAGCGGCAGCGCGGGGGCAACCCUGGCGGCGAGCGGCGGACGGGUGAGGAAUUCGUCGGAAUCUGCCUUUUGUGGGGGAUAACGUAGGGAAACUUACGCUAAUACCGCAUACGACCUACGGGUGAAAGUGGGGGACCUUCGGGCCUCACGCAGAAAGAUGAGCCGACGACCGAUUAGCUAGUUGGUAGGGUAAAGGCUUACCAAGGCGACGAUCGGUAGCUG